Non-coding RNA from Candidatus Atribacteria bacterium, 158 nucleotides. NCBI's taxonomy places the organism in Bacteria, Pseudomonadati, Atribacterota, Atribacteria. The record is from Rfam.
CUUAUGUAUUUAGAUGUACCUUAGACAGUAGGAGUUGUAAAAAAACAACGUAAUCGAUAUUAAAAUAUCUUCCUGCCCAGGUGAAAACAAAGUGAAUAAAAUUACUAGUUUCACCUUCCUUGUAGAUUGGUCUAAGGGAAGGUUUUUUUAUUGUGCAA